RNAcentral lists this unclassified non-coding RNA (164 nucleotides) under uncultured Gliocladiopsis. Its description in RNAcentral is "sequence contains ITS2". Lineage: Eukaryota; Fungi; Ascomycota; Sordariomycetes; Hypocreales; Nectriaceae. The record is from RNAcentral.
CAACCCUCAAGCCCCCGGGCUUGGUGUUGGAGAUCGGCAAAACGCCUCUCGGGGCGCGCCGUCUCCCAAAUCUAGUGGCGGUCUCGCUGUAGCUUCCUCUGCGUAGUAAUUCCCCUCGCACUGGGACGCGGCGCGGCCACGCCGUUAAACACCCCACUUCUGAA